RNAcentral lists this long non-coding RNA (281 nucleotides) under Trifolium pratense (red clover). RNAcentral's name for it is "long non-coding RNA (TPRA_LNC000445)". Lineage: Eukaryota; Viridiplantae; Streptophyta; Magnoliopsida; Fabales; Fabaceae. The record is from RNAcentral.
GAGGUGCGUGUAUGCUGAUAGAUUGUGCUUAUAAGAAUCUCUUGUUCUUAUUUUUUUAUUUUUUAUUUAUAAAUUAAGAAUCUAUUGUUCAUUCUAUGAUUAAACACUAUUUUAUAUAUACUCACAUUUAACUAUGCGUUUACCUAAAAACAACAACCUUUACCUAAAAACAACAACCUUUACCAAAAAAUUUGAGUUAGCAAACGGAAAUAUGAGAUGUCUGGACUUGGAGCUAUCAUAUUUACCCGGUUAAUUUCAUGUGUAGGAGAUGGGAAAGUGCA